RNAcentral lists this ribosomal RNA (440 nucleotides) under uncultured bacterium. RNAcentral's name for it is "partial 16S ribosomal RNA". It matches the Rfam family "Bacterial small subunit ribosomal RNA", at positions 338 to 795 of the family's 1533-position model. The record is from RNAcentral.
CCUACGGGAGGCAGCAGUAGGGAAUAUUGCUCAAUGGGGGAAACCCUGAAGCAGCAACGCCGCGUGGAGGAUGAAGGUUUUCGGAUUGUAAACUCCUUUUGUUAGAGAAGAUAAUGACGGUAUCUAACGAAUAAGGCCCGGCUAACUCCGUGCCAGCAGCCGCGGUAAUACGGAGGGUGCAAGCGUUACUCGGAAUGACUGGGCGUAAAGAGCGCGUAGGCGGGAUAGCAAGUCAGAUGUGAAAUCCUAUGGCUUAACCAUAGAACUGCAUUUGAAACUGUUAUUCUAGAGUAUGGGGGAGGUAGGUGGAAUUCUUGGUGUAGGGGUAAAAUGCGUAGAGAUCAAGAGGAAUACUCAUUGCGAAGGCGACCUGCUAGAACGUAACUGACGCUGAGGCGCGAAAGCGUGGGGAGCAAACAGGAUUAGAUACCCGUGUAGUC